Molecule: long non-coding RNA, 2096 nt
Organism: Apodemus sylvaticus (European woodmouse)
Lineage: Eukaryota; Metazoa; Chordata; Mammalia; Rodentia; Muridae
Exons: 3
Source: RefSeq, a predicted model, not a curated record
GCCAGGGAAGGCUGCGGAGGUCAAAGAUGAUGUCUGAGAAGUUGCCGGAUGCCAGCCAGUCAGUCAGAAGAAGAGGGCAUUGGAUCCCAUUGCAGAUUGUUGUGAGCCAUCAUAUGUUGCUGGAAAUUGAACUCAGAGCCUCUGAGAGAACAGUCAGUGCUCUUAAUUGGAAUUUGGAUCCUCAGAAACCCACAUAAACGCUGGGUGGGCUGGGCUGCCUAGCUCUGCUUCCAGCUGUGGAUGGCAGGAACAGGGAACCCCCUUCCAAAAAAAAGGGGACCCAAGGACAAGCUGCCUGCUGAGACUAUCAAUCAAGAAUGAUUCCAAACACUAAUAUCAGCUCUCCACACACGUGCAUGCUUGUACAAUCAUACUUGCACACAACGUGUGCCUAUACACAUGCAAAAGCAUGUAAAACACAGUAUAUGUGCACACACAUACAUACAACAUACACACACACACACACACACCAAAAGAAAAAUAAUGGGGGAAAAGUACAUAUUGACUGAAACGUCGAAGACCUUAAGAAGCCAGCUUAGCCUUCAUGGUCCAUGUAAGGCCAUACUCAUCAGCUGCCACAUUUUAUUCAGUGUUUCCCAUUGUUUUUGAAAAUUAACAUUUGCUGAGCACACCGGUGCACACCUUCAGCCUCAGCACUUGGGAGGCAGAGGCAGAGAUGGGAGGGCCUCCCUGAGUUUGAGGCCAGCCUGGUGAGACCUUACCUUAAAAAAAGUGAAAAUAUCCCUUAACUGGGCUGCCUUGUCUGGCCUCAGUGGGAGAAGAUGAGCAGAACCCUGCAGAGACUUGAUGUGCCAGGUUGGGGGCGUGGGAUCUGGGAGGGGCCUCCACCCUCUCAGAGGAGAAGUGUAGGGGAGGACGUGUGAGGGACUGUGUGAGGGGGAAGACAAAAAGGGAGAAGAGGAAGAAAUUCAAAGAUUAGCCGACUGUCACGCCAUUUGGGGCAGCCAGGGAGAGAUACCCACAGACUCCAGGCCUGACACCACCCACCUGAGUGUGGGAGGGGGAAAGACCUCCAUAGACUCACCAGGUGCCACCCCUCACAGGUGGGCAUAGACACCUGGUUCCCACUAGCUGCCACACCAGGAGGCCUAGACAGAGGAGUUCACCCGGAGCGCUGCCAGCCACAUGACCAGGCUACAUGACCAGGCAGAAGCCGCUACAGUGUGCAAGUGUGUGGCAGACAGGUGGGAGAGAAAGAAUUAGAACAGUUUGAGGAUUAUGAGGAACUAUGGAACUGGAGGCUAAUGAUGGAGAGGAAUAGUCUGUCGUGAGAAGCCAGCCCUGUCACCUGAGGCCAUGGUGAAAUCCCAGCCCGUGCUGUCACCGAGGGCCAUGUCUGGAUCCACGGCUACACAGUGGCAGGGGUCCAUGUAGAUAUCAAUGGCUAAUAUUACCACUAGGACCAUGGGGACGUCCCUAAUCUGGAUGCCUAAGAACUGUGCAGAACUGGCCCUACCCCUCACUGGCUGUGCCUUCUGGAGAGCUGGCCCCAUCUCUCACAGCAGCACCCAGGAGAGCAGGACCUGAGCUUCAGCGGAACCUCAGGAGCACAGUGGAGCCUCGGGAAGCACAGUGGAGGUAGUUCCGGAGGCAUGGCUGAGGGCAGAGAGCAGGAGGACGAACCCUGUCUCUUGCCAACGCUAGUGCUAGAUGGCCAAGCUGGAGCAGUGCUGGAGAACUCGCCCUGGUGGUGCCCAUAAGGAGGAACUCACAGGAGGGCCAGCACAGCUAACACCCAGGCCCAGAUGCAGGGCUUUGCAUUGGCCCAUCCCAAAAUCUACAUCAUCUGUGAACCGGUGGGGCAUGUGAAAGGGCCAGUCCUGCUGAUGCAAAGCUGCAGGAUCUCCAUAACACAGGGCAACAACAGGAUCCCGGUGGGGAUCCAGUAUCGAUGGUAUCAUAGAAGCCAGAGACCAGGAACCAGACCAAUGACUCACUGCAUGUGACAUUUGCAUGUGAAGAUGUGUGGGCAGAGGGGUGUACUGUGGGACACACUGUGAUACACCACAGCUUCCACAGUGAGAUGUUUUCUAUGCUUUGUUUUGCUUAUUUUUUAUUUGUCGGUGUGUUUUUUA